GCCAGCCGUGGGACACAUGUUUGCAGUCCCAGCUACUCAGGAGGCUGAGACAGGAGCAUCCCCUGAGCCCCGGAGUUCUGAGCUGUUGUGUGUUAUGCCCAUCGGGUAUCUGCACUAAGUUCAGCAACAAUAUGGUGACCUCCUGGGAGCAGGGGACCACCAGGUUGCCUAAGGAGGGGUGAACUGACCCAAAUCAGAAACAGAGCAGGUCAAAACUUCCAUGAUGAUCAGUAGUAGGACAGUGCCUAUGAAUAACCACUGCACUCCAGCUAGGGCAACACAGCAAGACACUAUCUCU
This 298-nucleotide signal recognition particle RNA is filed under the name Propithecus coquereli (Coquerel's sifaka). RNAcentral describes it as "Metazoan signal recognition particle RNA (ENSPCOG00000001272.1)". It matches the Rfam family "Metazoan signal recognition particle RNA". From Rfam's summary of the family: The signal recognition particle (SRP) is a universally conserved ribonucleoprotein. It is involved in the co-translational targeting of proteins to membranes. The record is from RNAcentral. Lineage: Eukaryota; Metazoa; Chordata; Mammalia; Primates; Indriidae.